CUGCCUUUCAGAGGGGGACAACAGUUGGAAACGACUGCUAAUACCGCAUGAUACAUUUGGGUGGCAUCAUCUGAAUGUCAAAGAUUUAUCGCUGAAAGAUGGCCUCGCGUCUGAUUAGCUAGUUGGUGAGGUAACGGCCCACCAAGGCGACGAUCAGUAGCCGGACUGAGAGGUUGACCGGCCACAUUGGGACUGAGAUACGGCCCAGACUCCUACGGGAGGCAGCAGUGGGGAAUAUUGGGCAAUGGGCGCAAGCCUGACCCAGCAACGCCGCGUGAAGGAAGAAGGCUUUCGGGUUGUAAACUUCUUUUAAGAGGGAAGAGCAGAAGACUGUACCUCUAGAAUAAGCCACGGCUAACUACGUGCCAGCAGCCGCGGUAAUACGUAGGUGGCAAGCGUUGUCCGGAUUUACUGGGUGUAAAGGGCGUGCAGCCGGGAAUGCAAGUCAGAUGUGAAAUCCAUGGGCUUAACCCAUGAACUGCAUUUGAAACUGUAUUUCUUGAGUACUGGAGAGGCAAUCGGAAUUCCUAGUGUAGCGGUGAAAUGCGUAGAUAUUAGGAGGAACACCAGUGGCGAAGGCGGAUUGCUGGACAGCAACUGACGGUGAGGCGCGAAAGUGUGGGGAGCAAACAGGAUUAGAUACCCUGGUAGUCCACACUGUAAACGAUGAAUACUAGGUGUGCGGGGACUGACCCCCUGCGUGC
This 704-nucleotide ribosomal RNA is filed under the name uncultured Bacteroidota bacterium. Its description in RNAcentral is "bacterial SSU rRNA". It matches the Rfam family "Bacterial small subunit ribosomal RNA", at positions 126 to 846 of the family's 1533-position model. Lineage: Bacteria; Pseudomonadati; Bacteroidota. The record is from RNAcentral.